AUUUAUCAGGAAAGCUGCUGGUGAUGGUUGCAAUGACAGCGAUGAAGAGGCUAAGCGGGGUAAAAUGCUUGAGUUGGGCCACACUGGCGGUACUGGUAGGGGAAGAGGAAGGGGUAGAGGAAGAGGCCGCGGUCGAGGGGCUCGAACUGCAGAAAGAGAAACCUUACAUCAGUAGAUAAUGGUUCAGAACCAAAGGAGUUAUCAAAGGAAAAUAUUGCAGCUCACGAAGAAAGUACUCAAUCUCUCCGAAACAUUGAUCUGAAUGCCAACUUACGUGUAAACGAGGAGAAAAACAAUACAAGCAUGGAUAUACCUACUCAUGCCCCAUUGCCUGAGCCUGCUGCAACAACAGAUAUGCAACAUGAAGAAAUUCCAGGUUAUUCCUUUCUGAUGUCGACAAGAUGACGAUUGACACGUUGCAGCUUGCAGCAAACCUAGGUAAUAGGCUAGAUUAUGAUGAUGAGGAAGAGUAGCUAACACCUUAAGGUGGAAAUCAUGACUCAGAUGCUAAAUGAAUGAUCCCUUUUUUUCUUUGCCUGGUAUCUCAAUGACCUUGUGUAGAUACUAGCAAAUGUAGUUUUUUUUUCUUCUUAUCAGUAAUGUUAGUUUCUUGCACUUUUUAGGGUUUAAUUGUUGUCAAAAUCCCGACUUAAAUCCUAAAAUCCAGAAUUUUGCGACUUUCUUCACCUUCAACGACCUAAAUCCAUAGUAGAAUCCUAAAAUAGGCAAAGUCCAUCGA
Molecule: long non-coding RNA, 739 nt
Organism: Medicago truncatula (barrel medic)
Lineage: Eukaryota; Viridiplantae; Streptophyta; Magnoliopsida; Fabales; Fabaceae
Exons: 3
Source: RefSeq, a predicted model, not a curated record